CCUACGGGUGGCAGCAGUGAGGAAUAUUGGACAAUGGGGGCAACCCUGAUGCAGCGAAGCCGCGUGAGUGAAGACGGCCUUCGGGGUGGAAAGCUCUUUCUCCGGGGGCGCAAAUGCCGCUACCCUGCGAGGAAGCUCCGGCUAACUACGGGCCAGCAGCCGCUGUAAUACUGAGGGAGCAAGCGGUGUACGGAAUUACUGGGUGUAAAGGGGGAGUAGGCGGGGGGAUAAGGUGAAUGUGAAAUCGAUGGGCUCAACCCAUAGCUGCGGUGGGAACUGUUGUUCUUGAGUGUACGAGAGGCAGGCGGAAUUCGUGGUGUAGCGGUGAAAUGCGUAGAUAUUAGGAGGAACACCAGUGGCGAAGGCGGCAUGCUGG
Molecule: ribosomal RNA, 376 nt
Filed under: uncultured bacterium
Lineage: Bacteria
Description: partial 16S ribosomal RNA
Rfam family: Bacterial small subunit ribosomal RNA
Source: RNAcentral